This 253-nucleotide ribosomal RNA is filed under the name uncultured bacterium. RNAcentral's name for it is "partial 16S ribosomal RNA". It matches the Rfam family "Bacterial small subunit ribosomal RNA", at positions 524 to 776 of the family's 1533-position model. The record is from RNAcentral.
UACGUAGGCAGCAAGCGUUGUUCGGAAUUACUGGGCGUAAAGAGUGUGUAGGCGGUGCUCUAAGUUCGGUGUGAAAUCUCCCGGCUCAACUGGGAGGGUGCGCCGGAAACUGGGGUGCUGGAGCGCGGGAGAGGAAAGCGGAACUCCUGGUGUAGCGGUGAAAUGCGUAGAUAUCAGGAGGAACACCGGCGGUGUAGACGGCUUUCUGGACCGUAGCUGACGCUGAGACACGAAAGCGUGGGUAGCAAACAGG